GGGCCGCUAACUCAAUGGCAGAGUAGGCGCCUUUUAAGCGCAGAGUUCCGGGUUCGAGUCCCGGGCGGCCCA
This 72-nucleotide transfer RNA is filed under the name Acidimicrobiales bacterium. Its description in RNAcentral is "tRNA-Lys". It matches the Rfam family "tRNA". From Rfam's summary of the family: Transfer RNA (tRNA) molecules are approximately 80 nucleotides in length. RNAcentral also lists the same sequence under 2 other names. Lineage: Bacteria; Bacillati; Actinomycetota; Acidimicrobiia; Acidimicrobiales. The record is from RNAcentral.